ACCAAUUUUAUUUCUCCUGUGCCUGAUAAACAGGCUACAGUUCUCUCUUUAUACCACCAGUAUUUCUGCCAUGGCACUUUAAGACUAAUCUUUCAACCACUUCCAUCUAAUGGGAAUAUAAGAAAUAAAUUGGAAUCACUUUAUGCAUUGUAUUUGAGAGGCCUAAGAUAGAGCGUGGUUGUUAUUGCUUAUUCAUGGUUCUUGUGAUUAAUCAGAGGUCGCUUCUGGAAGCCUGAUUGCUAUUCUUCCAACUUCUUUGAAAAUCAAUUCCAGCAUAUAUCAAAAGCAACAAUGGAAAAAACCAUAGGAUGACCUUAGCCUAAUCCUUGCUGCAAAUGCAGGCCAAAUUCGGACAUAACACAAAACUGAGGGUCCAACACGUUACCUGUCUGAAUUCAGAUGUAAGUGCUGGCCUCCUCUCUGCAGUCUGUGAGACUACAGAGAGGAGGGGGAACUGGCUGCCUGGCUUCCUCCUUUGAUUGAUGGACAAUUGCGGCAGCCAAUAAGGAUGGAUAGAGGGAGGAGGUCCCAGGAAAGGCUGUUUUCAUUACUGAAUUUGAACGUAAUGAAGUCAGACACAAACCAGAGGCCCAGGCAGAGAACCUCACAUCAAACCAAGGGUUUAAAUUGCAGUCUGGGAGAAUUAGACAGGGUCAACGAAGAUAUGAAAGUUUGGUUAGCAGAUAGAGAACCAUGAAGAAAGAAGAAAGGAUGCUACUUGCUUUUGCCUACUUGUAACUGCUGUGGAGACUUAAUUUGGACCAGAGACUGUCUAAGCUGCUGAGCCUACCAGUAGAAUAACUAAUAAAUUCCUUUAUAUUGAA
Long non-coding RNA from Hemicordylus capensis (graceful crag lizard), 824 nucleotides. RefSeq lists it as uncharacterized. The record is from RefSeq and is a predicted model, not a curated record. NCBI's taxonomy places the organism in Eukaryota, Metazoa, Chordata, Lepidosauria, Squamata, Cordylidae. The transcript is spliced from 2 exons.